CUGGAAGCCCGACGGCGGGUGCUUGCCGCAGGUGAUGAGCAGGUUGAGCGCGAUGGGGAGGUAGAUGUUGAUGUUGAGCAGGCGCAAGCGGAUGGUGGUGCAGAGGCACAGCGCCGCGUCCAGGUCCGCGAUCCCCUGCACCAGCGGGCAGCACUUGGACCUUGCCUCCUGCCCGAUCACCAGGUGGAUCAGCCCGCUCAGCACGUCCACGCACGCGUUCAGCUUCAGGGUGUCGAUCGGGCACGUCCGCGACGCCGGCGGCGUCGGCGGAACGUACGGCGGCGUCGGCGGCACGUACGGCGGCACGUAGGGCGGCGACGGCGGCACGUUGGGCGGUGACGGGCGAGGCGUCGGUGGGACGUAUGGCGGCACGUAGGGCGGUGACGGGCGAGGCGUCGGCGGGACGUACGGUGGCACGUACGGCGGCGACGGCCGAGGCGUCGGGGGGACGUAUGGUGGCACGUAGGGCGGCGACGGGCGAGGCGUCGGCGGGACGUACGGUGGCACGUACGGCGGUGACGGCCGAGGCGUCGGCGGGACGUACGGUGGCACGUACGGCGGCGACGGCCGAGGCGUCGGGGGGACGUAUGGUGGCACGUAGGGCGGCGACGGGCGAGGCGUCGGCGGGACGUACGGUGGCACGUACGGCGGUGACGGCCGAGGCGUCGGAGGCACGUACGGCGGGUUGCACGGCGGGCAGUUGGACGGGGGGCCGUGGUGGCGCUUGGGCGGCUUGCCAUGGUGGGGCGGGUGGCUGUGGCC
Molecule: long non-coding RNA, 762 nt
Filed under: Sorghum bicolor (sorghum)
Lineage: Eukaryota; Viridiplantae; Streptophyta; Magnoliopsida; Poales; Poaceae
Description: long non-coding RNA (SBIC_LNC016898)
Source: RNAcentral